AUGCGCGCCACGUGUUCGCGCAAUUGCCUGGCCGAGCUGCUCCGCCGCCUUGGCCAGGUCCAGGCGCAGGGCCAACCGCGCUGCCCCUCCCAGCUAUCUUCCGCGCGCUCCAUGACGCGCGGCCGGAGCGUGAACGAGCGGAGCAAGAAGAAGCGCGUGAACGACCUCGAGGUGGUCAUCGAGCGCUGCAAGGUGGUCUCCAAGGUGCUGGCCGUGGUGGACGCGCUCAAGAUGGAGGAGGAGCACGUCACCCCUCUCAAGCGCCUCGAGAUCCUGCGCCCGCAGCUCGGGCUCGCCAAGCCGCACAAGGUCGCCCACUUCGUGCACAGCUCGCCGCAGCUCUUCGAGGUCUGCCGCGACAGCCGCGGCGUCAUGUGGGCCGGCCUCUCUCCGCCGGCUGAGGCGCUCGUUGAGGAGGAGGCGCGCCUGCUGGAGGAGCACUCCCCCACGGCCGCAGAGUACGUGACCAGGCUGCUCAUGAUGUCGGUGCAACGGCGCCUGCCCGUUGACAAGAUCGCGCAUUUCCGGCGUGACAUGGGGCUUCCUCAUGAUUUCCGGGCACGGUGGGUGCACAUGUUCCCUGAGCUCUUCAGGUUGGUUACACUGGAGGAUGGCGACUACUUGGAGCUUGUUUCCUGGAACCCAAACUGGGCGGUCACUGAGCAUGAGAAGAAUAUGGCAGCACUGGCCGGUAACACCAAUGCCAGUUCCAAUGCUAGUACACCAGGAGAGCUCUCUCUUCCAUUCCAGAUGAAGUUCCCACCAGAUUUUAAAAGUUACUACAAAUUUAGAGGAAAAGCUCAUCACUAUGUGAAAACCGGCAAUACCGAGCAGUUUCAGAAGACAACCUACCUGUCCCCUUAUGCAGAGGCAAAAGAUUUGACCCCUGGAUCUCAUGAGUUUGACAAGAGGGCAGUCGCGGUGAUGCACGAGAUACUGAGCUUCACAUUGGAGAAGAGGCUGGUAACUGACCACCUGACGCAUUUCCGUCGUGAGUUUGUUAUGCCACAGAAGCUGAUGAGGUUGCUACUGAAGCAUUAUGGUAUUUUUUAUGUGUCUGAGAGGGGGAAGCGGCUGAGCGUGUUCUUGACAGAGGCAUAUGAUGGGACAGAGUUGAUAAAAAAGGCUCCGUUGGUAAGGUGGAGAGAGAAGGUCCUUCGACUUACUGGUUACAGAGGAAAAAACAAGAAUAUUGGAAAAGUUCAUGAGUCGUCUGAUUCUGAGCACUGUUUGUUUGGUGCGAGCUCAUCAACAUGUGACGGUGGUAGCAGUGAUGACGAUGGUGCUGAUACUAUAUUGCAUGUCGAAAGUGAAGAUUCAGAUGAUUUCUUGGAUGAUGGCACUCUUACAGAUGAUGGUGAGAUGGAUGAUGUUGACAUGGAUGAUGGUCAGAUGGAUGAUGCUGGGAUGGGUUUUUUCUAG
RNAcentral lists this ribosomal RNA (1422 nucleotides) under Triticum aestivum (bread wheat). Its description in RNAcentral is "partial small subunit ribosomal RNA". The record is from RNAcentral. Lineage: Eukaryota; Viridiplantae; Streptophyta; Magnoliopsida; Poales; Poaceae.